GAUGAAGAACGUAGUGAAAUGCGAUACUUGGUGUGAAUUGCAGAAUCCCGUGAACCAUCGAGUCUUUGAACGCAAGUUGCGCCCGAAGCCAUUAGGCCGAGGGCACGCCUGCCUGGGCGUCACACGUCGUUGCCCCCCCAUCUACUCCUUCGGGAUUGCGGGGGGCGGAUGAUGGCCUCUCGUGCGCCUCGUCGCGCGGUUGGCCUAAAUGCCAAGUCCUCGGCGACGCACGCCACGACAAUCGGUGGUUGCGAAACCUCGGUUGCCUGUCGUGUGCGGUCGUCGCGCAUCGAGGGCUCGAAAAAAUUGCCGGGCUUCGGCUCGACUUUCAACGCGACCCCAGGUCAGGCGGGGUUACCCGCUGAAUUUAAGCAUAUCAAUAAGCUGAGGA
RNAcentral lists this unclassified non-coding RNA (391 nucleotides) under soil metagenome. RNAcentral describes it as "partial contains 5.8S ribosomal RNA, internal transcribed spacer 2, and large subunit ribosomal RNA". The stretch from base 1 to 122 matches the Rfam family "5.8S ribosomal RNA", at positions 35 to 154 of the family's 154-position model. The record is from RNAcentral.